This is a non-coding RNA of Mycena floridula, 73 nucleotides long. The record is from the annotation of a GenBank genome assembly. NCBI's taxonomy places the organism in Eukaryota, Fungi, Basidiomycota, Agaricomycetes, Agaricales, Mycenaceae.
GUGAUGAUGGUGCAGUGGUAACAUCUCCCGCUCAGUUAUUUGGAAGGCUCAGGUUCAGUUCCUGAUCGUCACC